CUUAAAAAUGUGAAAAAUUUAAAUGAAUAUAAAUUCUGAAUACACCCUAUAAUGUCCUCAAUGAGCUUAAGUUUUAAAGCCCUGAAUGGUUUCUGUAGGUCAAAGGUCAUGUGAGGAGAUAGGGGCUGAAGUUUUUUCAAGCGCUCUAGUAAAGGGUUUUAAGUGUCAUCCCCAGUGCUAUGGGUGCUGAGCCUGGCUUCAUGUGUCUCAUAUGGCCAUUAGAAGCAGCUUUCCAGUCAGCUGUGUGUCUCCAGGUGCACUAAUUGGUUGCCAUGCGGACCUUGGAUGCAUAACUAUAGCAGGAGAAAGAAGGCUUGAAGCUAAGGAAACAGGACUCCAAGUAGGCCCUGACGCUCAUCCUCUGUAUCUAUUCCUGAUAAGGAGCUUGUGAGAACACAAGACUCUGCUAAACACAUUAAUACAAUUUAUUAUCACAAUCCUCAAAACACCCCAUAAUAUUUUCAAUGAGCUGAAUUUUAGAAGCCCAGAAUGGUUUCUGUAGCUCAAAGUUUGUGGGUGGAGAUAGGUGGCGAAGCAGACACAUAUUAACUGUGUGUACAAGCAGCUGAACUGCAAGGUAGACCUCAUAAAGCAACAAGUACAAGAAUGUGUGUGUGUGUGUGUGUGUGUGUGUCUCGUUAAUGACUGCAUCCUAAACAGCUGUGAGAUCAAAGGCAAAUCACUGACCUACUGUUUGAAUGAGAAGCAGCUGAACUGCAGAGGAUUUAGAGGCUCUAAACUUCUUCACAUAGCGUGAUUUCCUUAAGUCCCAGAAUGAAAAUAAGAACAUCGUACGAAUCCUCCGUCCUUCAUGAACACAAUGAUGUCUUUUUCAUGUCUGUACUGCGAAAAAUGUGGCCACAACAGCGAGUUAAAAAAGUCUGAGCCUGAGUGGGGAUAAGGAUUUUCUUGGAGAAGAAAUACAUUAGGUCUAAUGGGGAGAGAUUUCCGCCUAUUUGGACAGUUGGUCACCUGCUGGCCAAGAGGCAAGAUUUAAUGAUUUGAAACCUCUUUUGUGAGAAGCAGGACACAUAUACCUCCAUUUUGAUGUAUUUUUUAUGGGUGUGGAUUGAGAUUUGUGAGCGUGGGAGCGAUAUAUUCGAGCGAGGUUCUGUCGAUCAGAGACGAGGUCUGCACUCUAGCUUUUCAAAUCAUCACUCUAGCCUCUCCAAUACACCCCUAUUAUAAAGCCUGAAAUUUGCUGAAAACCACAAGUUGCUUGAAGCUAAAUUGUGGAAAAACUGUAAAAGAUAGCACAAAAAGGUUAAUACAAUAUCAAUAGUCGACAAGACAAUGAACAUUUUAAAGCAAAAAUGAGGUCUCUAGGUGAAAGUAUGCUGAAGUUAUAAGGCUUAGAAGGUGGACGAAUAACAGGAAGAAUUGAAAGAUUUCCCCAUUCAUUUCUAUGGGAAAAAAAGUUUGGCACAAAAAGUGAAAAAUAAUAAAAAGUAUAAAGGGUAGAAAAAAGAAAAGUAAUAGCCAUCAUGUCCUGAAGAAGUGGAAUCGUUUAAAGUUUGAACGGUUGAAAUCGGACAAAGUUUGAAGGAGGAGAAGCGGUCCAAAGAAACGUAUGGGGAGAGUGUUAAGUAUAAUACUAGAAAAAUUGCAUUUCCUUGCAGAAAAUGCGUGGAAAUGCUGAGUGCUGAAAGCUGAAAAAGCAAUGCUGAACUGCUAAUAAAACAUGGAGAAAGGUAUAAAUGUUAAAGCUGUUGAAGGGGUGAAAAUGAAAUAUAAGUUGGAUAACUGUUUAAUUGGUUGAAGUACAAAUAUUAUGAAUAUGCUCUAUAAAAGGAAAUUUGACAUUAACAGUAGUUGUCGUACUUGAGGUAGGAUUUUGUUUGAAGGACGGAAUAAUGCAUAAAUAUUAAAACUAAUAUAAACAGGGAAAAUUUUAUUAAUUUAAAAUCCUCAAGUAUCAGAAAGUUUUUAAGUAUUAGAAAGGUUUGAAUCAUUUUGAAUGAGUUUAAAUUAGUUUGAAAAAUGAAAUGAUAAAUCAUCACUGAGUGACUUUAAAAUGUGAAAAAUUUAAAUGAAUUUAAAUCCUAAAUACACCCCAUAUUGUCCUCAAUGAGCUUAAAUUUUAAAGCCCUGAAUGGUUUCUGUAGGUCAAAGGUCAUGUGAGGAGAUAGGGGCUGAAGUUUUUUCCAACGCUCUAGGAAAGGGUUUUAAGUGUCAUCCCAAGUGCUAUGUGUACUGAGCCUGGCUUCAUGUGUCUCAUAUGGCCAUUAGAAGCAGCUUUCCAGUCAGCUGUGUGUCUCCAGGUGCAAAAAUUGGUUGCCAUGGGGACCUUGGAUGCAUAACUAUAGCACGAGAAAGAAGGCUUGAAUGCUAAGGAAACAGGACUCCAAGUAGGCCCUGACGCUCAUCCUCUAUAUAUAUUUAUGAUAAGGAGCUUGUGAGAACCACAAAAACUGCUUAACACAUUAAUACAAUUUAUAAUCACAAUCCUCAAAACACCCCAUAAUAUCUUCAAUGAGCUGAAUUUUUGAAGCCCAGAAUGGUUUCUGUGGCUCAAAGUUUGUGGGUGGAGAUAGGUGGCGAAGCAGACACAUAUUAACUGUGUGUACAAUCAGCUGAACUGCAAGGUAGACCUGACAAAGCAACAAGUACAAGAAUGUGUGUGUGUGUGUGUGUGUGUGUGUGUGUGUCUCGUUAAUGACUGCAUCCUGAACAGCUGUGAGAUCAAAGGCAAAUCACUGACCUACUGUUUGAAUGAGAAGCAGCUGAACUGCAGAGGAUUAAGAGGCUCUGAACUUCUUCACAUAGCGUGAUUUCCUUAAAUCCCAGAAUGAAAAUAAGAACAUCGUACGAAUCCUCCGCCCUUCAUGAACACAAUGAUGUGUUUUUCAUGUCUGUACUCCGAAAAAUGUGGCCACAACAGCGAGUUAAAAAAGUCUGAGCCUGAGUGGCGAUAAGGAUUUUCUUGGAGAAAAAAUACAUUAGGGCCAAUGGGGAGAGAUUUGCGCCUAUUUGGACAGUUGGUCACCUGCUGGCCAAGGGGUACGAUUUAAUGAUUUGAAACCUCUUUUGUGAGAAGCAGGACACAUAUACCUCCAUUUUGAUGUAUUUUUUAUGGCUGAGGAGUGAAAUUUGUGGGCGUUGGAGCGAUAUAUUCGAGCGAGGUUCUGUCGAUCAGAGACGAGGUCUGCACUCUAGCUUUUCAAAUCAUCACUCUAGCCUCUCCAAUACACCCCAUUAUAAAGCCUGAAAUUUGCUGAAAACCACGAGGUGCUUAAAGCUAAAUUGUGGAAAAACUGUAAAAGUUAGAACAAAGAGGUUAAUACAACAUCAAUAGUCGACAAGACAAUGAACAUUUUAAAGCAAAAAUGAGGUCUCUAGGUGAAAGUAUGCUUAAGUUAUAAGGCUUAGAAGGUGGACGAAUAACAGGAGGAAUUGGAAGAUUUCCCCAUUCAUUUCUAUGGGAAAAAAAGUUUGGCACAAAAAGUUAAAAAUAAUAAAAAGUACAAAGGAUAGAAAGGAAAAAAAUACAAGCACACAUGUCCUGAUGGAGUGGAAUAGUUUAAAGUUUGAACGGUUGAAAUCGGACAAAGUUUGAAGGAGGAGAAGCGGUCCAAAGAAACGUAUGGGGAGAGUGUUAAGUAUAAUACUAGAAAAAUUGCAUUUCCUUUCAGAAAAUGCGUGGAAAUGCUGAGUGCUGAAAGCUGAAAAAGCAAUGCUAAACUGCUAAUAAAACAUGGAGAAAGGUAUAAAUGUUAAAGGUGUUGAAGGGGUGAAAAAGAAAUAUAAGUUGGAUAAUGGUCUAAUUGGUUGAAGGACAAAUAGUAUGAAUAUGCUCUAUAAAUGGAAGUUUUAUUCAUGCUGAAAGAGGCUAGAAAAAUGUCUACAAUUGCACAAAGUUUGAAUGAAGAAGGAAACUGCCUUAAAAGGCAGGAAGGUGAGAAGUGGCAUAAGUUUAAGUUGUAGUACUAGAAGUAGUAUAAUAGGUCAAGUCGUGAUACUAGUAGUCAUGUCAGCAGUAGAAGUAGUUUGAGAAUAAAAGAAGUAUAAGUCACAAUAGUAGAGAAAGUAGAAAUAGGAGCAAUAGUAGUUGAAGUAGAGGGGAUAGUACUAGUUUAAUUGACAUUAGCGGUAGUUGUCGUACUUGAGGUAGGAUUUUGUUUGAAGGAUGGAGUAAUGCAUAAAUAUUAAAACUUAUUUCAAACAGGGAAAAUUGAAAUAAUUAAAAAUCCUCAAGAAUCAGAAAGUUUUUAAGUAUUAGAAAGGUUUGAAUCAGUUUGAAUGAGUUUCAACUAGUUUGAAAAAUAAAUGAUAAAUCAUCACUGAGUGACUUUAAAAUGUGAAAAAUUUAAAUGAAUAUAAAUCCUAAAUACACCCCAUAAUGUCCUCAAUGAGCUUAAAUUUUAAAGCCCUGAAUGGUUUCUGUAGGUCAAAGGUCAUGUGAGGAGAUAGGGGCUGAAGUUUUUUCAAGCACUCUAGGAAAGGGUUUUAAGUGUCAUCCCCAGUGCUAUGCGUACUAAGCCUGGCUUCAUGUGUCUCAUAUGGCCAUUAGAAGCAGCUUUCCAGUCAGCUGUGUGUCUCCAGGUGCACUAAUUGGUUGCCAUGGGGACCUUGGAUGCAUAACUAUAGCCGGAGAAAGAAGGCUUGAAGCUAAAGAAACAGGACUCCAAGUAGGCCCUGACGCUCACCCUCUGUAUAUAUUCAUAAGGAGCUUGUGAGAACACAAGACUCUGCUGAACACAUUAAUACAAUUUAUUAUCACAAUCCUCAAAACACCCCAUAAUGUCUUCAAUGAGCUGAAUUUUUGAAGCCCAGAAUGGUUUCUGUAGCUCAAAGUUUGUGGGUGGAGAUAGGUGGUGAAGCAGACACAUAUUAACUGUGUGUACAAGCAGCUGAACUGCAAGGUGGACCUCAAAAAGCAACAAGUACAAGAAUGUGUGUGCGUGUGUGUGUGUGUGUCUCGUUAAUGACUGCAUCCUAAACAGCUGUGAGAUCAAAGGCAAAUCACUAACCUACUGUUUGACUGAGAGGUGCUGAACUGCAGUGAAUUUCAGCCUCUGAACUUCUUCACAUAGCGUGAUUUCCUUAAGUCCCAGAAUGAAAAUAAGAACAUCGUACGAAUCCUCCGUCCUUCAUGAACACAAUGAUGUGUUUUUCAUGUCUGUACUCCGAAAAAUGUGGCCACAACAGCGAGUUAAAAAAGUCUGAGCCUGAGUGACGAUAAGGAUUUUCUUGGAGAAGAAAUACAUUAGGGCCAAUGGGGAGAUAUUUGCGCCUAUCUGGACAGUUGGUCACCUGCUGGCCAAGGGGUACGAUUUAAUGAUUUGAAACCUCUUUUGUGAGAAGCAGGACACAUAUACCUCCAUUUUGAUGUAUUAUUUGUGUCAGUGGAGUGAGAUUUGUGGGCGUGGGAGCGAUAUAUUCGAGCGAGGUUCUGUCGAUCAGAGACGAGGUCUGCACUCUAGCUGAUGACAUCAUCACUCUAAACUCUCCAAUACACACCCAUUAUAAAGCUUGAAAUUUGCUGAAAACCACAAGUUGCUUAAAGCUAAAUUGUGGAAGAACUGUAGAAGAUAUCAAAAAACCGAGUACAACUUUGAUAGUCAACAAGUGAGUGAACAUUUUAAAGCAAAAAUGAGGUCUCUAGGUGAAAGUAUGCUGAAGUUAUAAGGUCUAGAAGGUGGAAGAAUGAAAGGAAGAAGUUGAAGAUUUCCCCAUUGACUUCAAUGUUAAAAUUUUUGCACAAAAAGUUAAAAAAAUCAAAAAGUAUAAAAGGUAGAAGAGUGAAAAGUAAUAGCCAUCAUGUCCUGAAGGAGUGGAAUAGUUUAAAGUUUGAACGGUUGAAAUCGGACAAAGUUUGAAGGAGGAGAAGCGUUGCAAAAAAGGGACGGAAGAAUAAUAAUAAUAAUAAUAAGUUUAAUAAAGAAACGGGAGAAUAACAAUAAGUGGAAAUGCCUAUCAGCAUUUCCACUUAACUAGAAAAAUUGCAUUUCCUUGCAGAAAAUGCGUGGAAAUGCUGAGUGCUGAAAGCUGAAAAAGCAAUGCAAAACUGCCAAUAAAAAAUGGAGGAAGGUAUAAACGGAAAAACUGUAGAAAAGGUGGAGUAGAAGAAGAAGAAAUUGUAUCAAUGGAAGAAUUGUAGUAUAGCUGGAGGUAAAUUAGUUGGAUUAAUGUACAAAUUGUCUGAUAGCCUAAGUGAAAAAUGUAUAUGAUUGAUGUGAAUAAACAGAACUGAUAUGGAUAAUUGAAUUUGAAAAACAAAUGCCUUUAAACAAUGUGUAACAAUGUUCCUAUUAAAUGUACAAAUAGUAAAACAGAUUUUUGCAGUCUGCAGCAUCCAACCAUAGUAACUUGAGAAUGCAGAACAGCACCAUUUAUUGCCCUGCUUCAGUUACUGCCCUACAUCUGAAUGCAGAAAGUAUGAAACAGCUGAAGUUAAAUUAAUUGUAUAAAUGUAGAAAGUAUAGAAAAGAAAAGCAGAAGUAGAAGAAAAAGAAGAAGUUAGUAUGUUAAAAGAGUUAAAGACAAGAACUGUAACAACAAAGUUCAUAUUGGGGCUGUAUUUUCUACUGACAGAGUGACAGUAAUGCACACAUGGAAACAGUGUGUGUGUGUGUGUGUGUGUGUGUGUGUGUGUGUGUGUGUGUGUGUGGCCGCGCGCGCGCGCGGCCGAGCCCGUGCGUGUGCAUAUGCGUGUGUGAUCGAAGCACACAGCCCAUGACAAGUGCAGAAUCUGACAGAGAGACAGUAAGAGAGAAAGAGAGACAUUAAUGCACUCAUGGAAACAGUGUGUGUGUAUGUGUGUGUGCCCGCGCGCGCACGAGCGGCCAAGUCCGUGCGUGUGCGAUCGAAGCACACAGCCCAUGACAAGUGCAGAAUCUGACAGAGAGAUAGUAAGAGAGACAGUAAUACACUCAUGGAAACAGUGUGUGUGUGUGUGUGUGUGUGCGUGUGUGUGUGCCCGCGCGCGCACGAGCGGCCGAGUCCGUGCGUGUGCAUGUGCGUGUGCGAUCGAAGCACACAGCCCAUGACAAGUGCAGAAUCUCUGGCUCUGAAGGAAUGUACUCACCUCCUGGGCAAGCUGUACAAUUUCAUGACUUCAGACCGAUUUUGUGAGAAGCAGGACGAGUGUACCUCCAUUUUGAUGUGUUUUUUAUGGCUGUGGAGUGAAAAUUGCGGCCGCAGCAGCAAAAUAAUCAUGCUUGGUCUAGUGAAUCCAAAAGGCCCCGCCCGCAUCUAGUGAUGACGUAACAUCUGACGUCACACGCUGUAGCGUGAGUCAGGCUGAAAAAGGCAGAGAACUUCAUGUUGCUCCAAGCGAAAUUGUGCAAAAACGGUAGGAAAUAGCAAAAAGGAGUGAAUACAACAUUUGUAGCAGACACGUUGCUGAACAUUUUAAAGCAAAAAUGAGGUCUGUAGGUGAAAGUAUGCAGAAGUUAUAAGGGUGAGAAGGUGUUAUAGCUGUAUCUCCAUUCAUUUGUAAUGGAACAAAUUUUGCAGAAAAAGUGAAAUAUUGCAAAAAGUAUAAAUGGUAGAAAGGUGAAAAGUAAUAGCCGUAAUGUCCUGAAGGAGUGCAUUAGUAUAAAGUUUGAAUGGUGAAAAUAGCACAAAGUGGUGAGGAGUUGAAAAGGGCCAAAAAAGGUACGGAAGAAUAAUAAUAAUAAUAAUAAUAAAGAAAUAGUAGAAUAACAAUAAGUGGAAAUGCUGUGUCAGCAUUUCCACUUAACUAGAAAAAUUGCAUUUCCUUGCAGAAAAUGCGUGGAAAUGCUGAGUGCUGAAAGCUGAAAAAGCAAUGCUAAACUGCUAAUAAAACAUGGAGAAAGGUAUAAAUGUUAAAGCUGUUGAAGGGGUGAAAAAGAAAUAUAAGUUGGAUAAUAGUUUAAUUGGUUGAAGGACAAAUAGCAUGAAUAUGCUCUAUAAAAGGAAAUUUUAUUCAUGCUGAAAGAGGCUAGAAAAAUGUCUAAAAUUGCACAAAGUUUGAAUGAAGAAGGAAAUUGCCUUUAAAGGCAGGAAGGUGAGAAGUGGCAUAAGUUUAAGUUGUAGUACUAGAAGAAGUAUGAUAAGAAGUCAAGUCGUGAUACUAGUAGUCAUGUCAGCAGUAGAAGUAGAUUGAGAAUAAAAGAAGUAUAAGUCAAAGUAGUAAAGAAAGUAGAAAUAGUAGCAAUAGCAGCAGUAGAGAAAGUAGAAAUAGGAGCAAUAGCAGUUGAAGUAGAGGGGAAAGUUCUAGUUUAAUUGACAUAAGUAGUUGUAGUACUAGAGGUAGGAUUUUGUUUGAAGGACGGAUUAAUGCAUAAAUAUUAAAACUAAUAUAAAACAGGGAAAAUUUUAUUAAUUAAAAAUCCUCAAGUAUCAGACAGUUUUUAAGUAUUAGAAAGGCUUGAAUCAUUUUGAAUGAGUUUAAAUUAGUUUGAAAAAUUAAAUGAUAAAUCAUCACUGAGUGACUUUAAAAUGUGAAACAUUUAAAUGAAUAUAAAUCCUAAAUACACCCCAUAAUGUCCUCAAUGAGCUUAAAUUUGAAAGCCCUGAAUGGUUUCUGUAGGUCAAAGGUCAUGUGAGGAGAUAGGGGCUGAAGUUUUUUCAAGCGCUCUAGUAAAAGGUUUUAAGUGUCAUCCCCAGUGCUAUGUGUGCUGAGCCUGGCUUCAUGUGUCUCAUAUGGCCAUUAGAAGCAGCUUUCCAGUCAGCUGUGUGUCUCCAGGUGCACUAAUUGGUUGCCAUGGGGACCUUGGAUGCAUAACUAUAGCAGGAGAAAGAAGGCUUGAAGCUAAGGAAACAGGACUCCAAGUAGGCCCUGAC
This 8751-nucleotide long non-coding RNA is filed under the name Xyrichtys novacula (pearly razorfish). The record is from RNAcentral. Lineage: Eukaryota; Metazoa; Chordata; Actinopteri; Labriformes; Labridae.